AUAAAUUAAGAUUUGAGAGAGCUCAAACAAAUACUCGUCUACUACAAUAAUCUCUUCCAUCAUAUAAAUUUCAACAAUAUCUCUUUAAUUUGUCUACCAAAAAAUAACAUUUGAUUCAAAGAUGGCUUCUUCUUUUGUUUGGAAGAAACUCUUGUCCAUUGUUAGACUCAUCUUUCCUUCCAAAGCAAAUGCAAAGAGAUUGAGUUCCACAAAUGAUAAUAUCGAUGGUAUGAAGAAAAAGAAGUUUCUUCCUCGUCCAUUUGAUGAAGAAAGUUCUGCUGCUCCUCGCAAUGGGAACUAUUGAUUCUUAAAUUGUAUAUACAAUUUUCUCUUAUCAUUUUUAUUAUCAUGAAAUAAUUAUACCUGUUUUUUAAUUUUCAAUCUUUGAUUCUAAAGAUUAUAUAUAUAUAUAUAUACACCCAAUUCUAGCUCUAA
Molecule: long non-coding RNA, 435 nt
Organism: Cucumis melo (muskmelon)
Lineage: Eukaryota; Viridiplantae; Streptophyta; Magnoliopsida; Cucurbitales; Cucurbitaceae
Exons: 2
Source: RefSeq, a predicted model, not a curated record